UCCUACGGGAGGCUGCAGUGAGGAAUAUUGCCCAAUGGACGCAAGUCUGAGGCAGCGACGCCGCGUGGGUGAAGAAGGCCUUCGGGUCGUAAAGCCCUUUUCUGUGUAACGAGGAAGGACGGUAGCACAGGAAAAAGUCUCGGCUAACUACGUGCCAGCAGCCGCGGUAAAACGUAGGAGGCAAGCGUUAUCCGGAGUUACUGGGCGUAAAGCGUGCGUAGGCGGGUCGGUAAGUGGGUCGUGAAAGCGCCGGGCUAAACCGGGCGAGGACGAACUAGACUGCCGGUCUAGAGGCGGAUAGAGGGGUGCGGAAUUCCGGGUGUAGCGGUGAAAUGUGUAGAGAUCCGGAGGAACACCAGUGGUGCAAACGGCGCCCUGGGUCCGAACUGACGCUGAGGCACGAAAGCGUGGGGAGCGAACGGGAUUAGAUACCCCGGUAGUCC
This 443-nucleotide ribosomal RNA is filed under the name uncultured bacterium. Its description in RNAcentral is "bacterial SSU rRNA". It matches the Rfam family "Bacterial small subunit ribosomal RNA", at positions 337 to 796 of the family's 1533-position model. The record is from RNAcentral.